Molecule: RNA transcript, 2571 nt
Organism: Strigops habroptila (Kakapo)
Lineage: Eukaryota; Metazoa; Chordata; Aves; Psittaciformes; Psittacidae
Gene: MST1
Gene name: macrophage stimulating 1
Exons: 18
Source: RefSeq, a predicted model, not a curated record
GCCCCGCGCCCGCGGGCAAAUAUUUGCGCGGGGCCGCCUCGGCGCUACAGUAGCGCGGGGACGCGGGGCCGCCGCCAUGCAGCCCGUGCUGGGGGUCCUGGUCGCCCUGGCCGCGGGCCUGGCCUCAGGCCACCGCUCCCCCCUCAAUGACUUCCAGCGCCUGCGAGCCACCGAGCUGCUGGCAGAGCCCGCAGACCCACCGCUGCCAUCACCGGAGCAGAGCUCUGCGGAGCAGUGUGCCCGGCGCUGUGCCACCAGCCUGGCCUGCCGGGCUUUCCACCACGACUGGCAGAGCCAGCUGUGCCAGCUGCUGCCUUGGACUCAGCACUCACCCCACAUCCAGCUGCAGAAAAACAUCCACUACGACCUGUACCAGAAGAAAGUUUUCCUGCGGGACUGCAUCGUGGCCGAUGGCUCCAGUUACCGCGGCACACGGGCCAUGACGGAGAAGGGUCUGCGCUGCCAGCACUGGCAAUCCACAACACCCCAUGACCACAGGUUCCUACCGUCACCCCACAAUGGUCUAGAGGAGAACUACUGCCGCAAUCCGGACUGGGACAAGCGGGGCCCGUGGUGUUACACCGUUGACCCCAACAUCCGACACCAGAGUUGCGGCAUCAAGAAGUGUGAGGAUGCCGUCUGCAUGACCUGCAACGGGGAGGACUACCGAGGUACCGUGGACCACACCGAGUCAGGGACAGAGUGCCAGCGCUGGGACCUGCAGCACCCACACAAGCACCCCUACCAUCCCCACAAGUACCCUGACAAGGGGCUGGACGACAACUACUGCCGCAACCCCGACAGCUCAGAGCGGCCCUGGUGCUACACCGUUGACCCUGGGCGGGAGCGCGAAUACUGCCGCAUCCGCCUGUGCACAGAGAAACGCCCACGGCCCCUCAACGUCACCACUGGCUGCUUCAGGGGCAAGGGCGAAGGCUACCGGGGCCGGGUGAACGUCACUGUGUCGGGGAUCCCCUGCCAGCGCUGGGACGCCCAGGUGCCCCACCAGCACCACUUCACACCCGAGAAGUACCCCUGCAAGGACCUGCAGGAGAACUACUGCCGCAACCCCGACGGCUCGGAGGCUCCGUGGUGCUUCACUGCCCGCUCCACCGUCCGCAUCGCCUUCUGCUUCCACAUCCACCGCUGCCCUGAUGAGCUGGGCGCCCAAGAGUGCUACUUCGGCCAUGGCGAGCACUACCACGGCCUCGUCAGCAAGACACGCAAGGGCAUCACCUGCCAGCCAUGGGCUGCCCAGACACCCCAUGUGCCCCAGAUCUCCCCUUUCACGCACCCUGAAGCACAUCUGGAGGAGAACUACUGCCGCAACCCUGAUAAUGACAGCCAUGGCCCCUGGUGCUACACUAUGGACCCCCGCACCCCUUUCGACUACUGUGCCAUCAAGCCCUGCUCUGGCAGCGCAGUGCCCUCUGUCCUGGAGAACGCAGACGCAGUGGCGUUUAAGGAGUGUGGCCAGCGGGAUGAGAGGCUGCAGUACAAAGGGCGCAUCAUUGGUGGCCAGCCCGGCAACUCGCCCUGGACUGUCAGCAUCCGCAACCGGGCCGGUGUGCACUUCUGCGGGGGGUCCCUGGUGGAGGAGCAGUGGGUGAUCAGCACGCGACAGUGCUUCUCCUCCUGCGAUGCCGACCUCAUGGGCUAUGAGGUACACCUGGGGAUGCUCUUCAAGGACCCUGGCCCCAAGGACCCUGAACUGCAGACCAUCCCCAUCACACGGAUUGUCUGCGGCCCCUCCGAGUCCCAGCUGGUGAUGCUGAAGCUGGCGAGGCCAGCGACUCUGAACAGGCGCGUGGCCCUGAUCUGCCUCCCACCCGAGCGCUAUGUCGUGCCCGCGGGCACCGUCUGCGAGAUCGCCGGCUGGGGGGAGACCAGAGCACCUCCCUUACGUGGCAUUUUCCUGCCUGCGCCAGCCCUCUGCCCACGGCAUCACCCCUGUCCACAACACCCUCCUGCCCACUCCAUUCCCCAUCAACAGCAUCCCCUGCCUGCAGUACUCCCUGUGAGAGCGCUCCUGCAAAGGCAUUACUUUCUAUGUUGUGUGCCCGCUGCCAUGGUACCCUCCUACCCGUGCCACCCCAAUGCCAUGGCAUUCUCCUGCCUAUGCCAUCCCAAUGCCAUGGCACCCCCCUGCCUGUGCCAUCCCCACUGCCAUGUCGUCCCCCGCUGGUGCCUCCCCUGCCUGCAGGCACAGCGGACGGUGGCGUGCUGAACGUGGCGCAGCUGCCGGUGCUGGCCCACGGCGAGUGCAACGCGGCGCUGCGCGGGCGCGUGAAGGACAGCGAGCUGUGCACAGCCCCACUGCGUGCCGGCGUGGGGGCCUGCGAGGGAGAUUACGGGGGACCGCUGGCUUGCCUCACUGCUGACUGCUGGGUGCUGGAGGGGGUGAUCACCCCAUCCCGCGUCUGUGCCCGCACCGACCAGCCCGCCCUCUUCAUCCGUGUGUCCCUCUACGUUGACUGGAUCUACAAGGUGAUGAAGAUGGGCUGAGCUGGCUUGGCACAGCCGCCACCGCGCAAUAAAGGCACAGCCGUGGCCGUGGCAGUCAGCACUGCA